GGGUGAGUAACACGUGGGUAACCUGCCCUUAAGUGGGGGAUAACAUUUGGAAACAGAUGCUAAUACCGCAUAAAUCCAAGAACCGCAUGGUUCUUGGCUGAAAGAUGGCGUAAGCUAUCGCUUUUGGAUGGACCCGCGGCGUAUUAGCUAGUUGGUGAGGUAACGGCUCACCAAGGCAAUGAUACGUAGCCGAACUGAGAGGUUGAUCGGCCACAUUGGGACUGAGACACGGCCCAAACUCCUACGGGAGGCAGCAGUAGGGAAUCUUCCACAAUGGACGCAAGUCUGAUGGAGCAACGCCGCGUGAGUGAAGAAGGCUUUCGGGUCGUAAAACUCUGUUGUUGGAGAAGAAUGGUCGGCAGAGUAACUGUUGUCGGCGUGACGGUAUCCAACCAGAAAGCCACGGCUAACUACGUGCCAGCAGCCGCGGUAAUACGUAGGUGGCAAGCGUUAUCCGGAUUUAUUGGGCGUAAAGCGAGCGCAGGCGGUUUUUUAAGUCUGAUGUGAAAGCCCUCGGCUUAACCGAGGAAGUGCAUCGGAAACUGGGAAACUUGAGUGCAGAAGAGGACAGUGGAACUCCAUGUGUAGCGGUGAAAUGCGUAGAUAUAUGGAAGAACACCAGUGGCGAAGGCGGCUGUCUGGUCUGUAACUGACGCUGAGGCUCGAAAGCAUGGGUAGCGAACAGGAUUAGAUACCCUGGUAGUCCAUGCCGUAAACGAUGAAUGCUAGGUGUUGGAGGGUUUCCGCCCUUCAGUGCCGCAGCUAACGCAUUAAGCAUUCCGCCUGGGGAGUACGACCGCAAGGUUGAAACUCAAAGGAAUUGACGGGGGCCCGCACAAGCGGUGGAGCAUGUGGUUUAAUUCGAAGCAACGCGAAGAACCUUACCAGGUCUUGACAUCUUUUGAUCACCUGAGAGAUCAGGUUUCCCCUUCGGGGGCAAAAUGACAGGUGGUGCAUGGUUGUCGUCAGCUCGUGUCGUGAGAUGUUGGGUUAAGUCCCGCAACGAGCGCAACCCUUAUGACUAGUUGCCAGCAUUUAGUUGGGCACUCUAGUAAGACUGCCGGUGACAAACCGGAGGAAGGUGGGGAUGACGUCAAAUCAUCAUGCCCCUUAUGACCUGGGCUACACACGUGCUACAAUGGAUGGUACAACGAGUUGCGAGACCGCGAGGUCAAGCUAAUCUCUUAAAGCCAUUCUCAGUUCGGACUGUAGGCUGCAACUCGCCUACACGAAGUCGGAAUCGCUAGUAAUCGCGGAUCAGCACGCCGCGGUGAAUACGUUCCCGGGCCUUGUACACUCCGCCCGUCACACC
This 1312-nucleotide ribosomal RNA is filed under the name Lacticaseibacillus rhamnosus. RNAcentral describes it as "bacterial SSU rRNA". It matches the Rfam family "Bacterial small subunit ribosomal RNA", at positions 104 to 1403 of the family's 1533-position model. Lineage: Bacteria; Bacillati; Bacillota; Bacilli; Lactobacillales; Lactobacillaceae. The record is from RNAcentral.